This 361-nucleotide long non-coding RNA is filed under the name Gossypium barbadense (sea-island cotton). RNAcentral describes it as "long non-coding RNA (GBAR_LNC015089)". Lineage: Eukaryota; Viridiplantae; Streptophyta; Magnoliopsida; Malvales; Malvaceae. The record is from RNAcentral.
UUUCGAUUAAUACCAGUCUCAAAUUCAAUGGAUGAACAACCUCAACCUACUAAACCAUAUAUAUAAACCAUAACCCUACCCGAACUAAGUAUUCCUAGAAUCCUGCUUCUUUUUCACAGUUUAAAACACAAGAACUUCUUUUAACCUCAAAUUGGAGCUGACUUGAACAAAAUUAUACAAGUAUAUAUCAAGAUCUUCAAGUUUCUUAGACUAUUGCCUCUUCGUAUUUCCUCUUUUUUUUGUUAAAAAAUAAACCUCCUAUAGAGUGUCUUCAACGGUGGAAAUUUAGGAAAUCUAAGUUAUUAAAAAAUAUAUAUUUCCCUUUAUACAAGUACAACAAAUAGGUUUAAUUAAGUUGUUG